ACUGCACAGUUGUAGGGGAAGGGAGAUUCCCCAUGCCCAGGGCAAUCUCCAGCAGCUAGAAGAGAUCCCAGCAGCAGGAAAGGCAGAGAGGCACGGAGAGAGAGCUGACUCCAGCAGCUCCCCCGCCUGUGCUCUCCUGGACACUUCCCAUGGACAACUUCUACCCCUGUAUCCUGGAAAUGUAUCCCCUACAGCCUCUUCAGCAACCCUGUGGAUUGAAAGCCAAAGGGAUAUACAGGCAGCAUCAGCCCAGGGCUCUCCCUGUGUCCUGGGCUUGGUAAAGGAGCUGAAGUUCCCAUGCAGGACCCCAUAGAGAUCCAUCCUGGGCUGUCCCCGACUGCAGCUCCUCGGGGAAGCAGGAGAGAGCUGACACCGUCUCCAACAGCUGCUGUGCUCCCUGGGAUCAUCGCUUCCCUGGAUGUUCAGACCUUAUGGCGAGCUGGGGACUUGGGCUUGUGCUGAGCUCUGGUGCGUGGGUGUCUCCUCUCCUCACUGUCCAAACACGCUGCUGUUUUUCCCAGAUCCUGGCGAUGGCAUCACCUCCUCACUGUUGGGAAUGUGCGGUGAGGGGCUGGAGGCGCACGGCUUUCCCCAUCCUCCGCACCCUGGAUGAGGCGUGUUCUGGUGGAAAACAAAGAGA
Long non-coding RNA from Pipra filicauda (Wire-tailed manakin), 640 nucleotides. RefSeq lists it as uncharacterized. Lineage: Eukaryota; Metazoa; Chordata; Aves; Passeriformes; Pipridae. The record is from RefSeq and is a predicted model, not a curated record. The transcript has 3 exons.